This 130-nucleotide transfer RNA is filed under the name Cytospora mali. Its description in RNAcentral is "tRNA-Lys (TTT) (tRNA-Lys-TTT-2-1)". The stretch from base 68 to 122 matches the Rfam family "tRNA", at positions 10 to 63 of the family's 71-position model. The record is from RNAcentral. Lineage: Eukaryota; Fungi; Ascomycota; Sordariomycetes; Diaporthales; Cytosporaceae.
GCCCGGCUAGCUCAAUGGGUAAGUUCAUUAUCAUCAUUCUUCAAAAUUGAAAAAAAAGCUGAUUUCCCCUUAAAGUCAGAGCGUCGGACUUUUAAUCCGAAGGCUGUGGGUUCAAGUCCCACGUCGGGCG